RNAcentral lists this ribosomal RNA (357 nucleotides) under uncultured Thermus sp. Its description in RNAcentral is "bacterial SSU rRNA". It matches the Rfam family "Bacterial small subunit ribosomal RNA", at positions 1025 to 1382 of the family's 1533-position model. The record is from RNAcentral. Lineage: Bacteria; Thermotogati; Deinococcota; Deinococci; Thermales; Thermaceae.
AGCUCGGAGACAGGUGCUGCAUGGCUGUCGUCAGCUCGUGUCGUGAGAUGUUGGGUUAAGUCCCCGCAACGAGCGCAACCCCUGCCCUUAGUUGCCAGCGGUUAGGCCGGGCACUCUAAGGGGACUGCCUGCGAAAGCAGGAGGAAAGGCGGGGACGACGUCUGGUCAUCAUGGCCCUUACGGCCUGGGCGACACACGUGCUACAAUGCCCACUACAGAGCGAGGCGACCCAGUGAUGGGAGCGAAUCGCAAAAAGGUGGGCGUAGUUCGGAUUGGGGUCUGCAACCCGACCCAUGAAGCCGGAAUCGCUAGUAAUCGCGGAUCAGCCAUGCCGCGGUGAAUACGUUCCCGGGCCUU